GAGUUUGAUCGUGGCUCAGAUUGAACGCUGGCGGCAUGCCUUACACAUGCAAGUCGAACGGCAGCACGGGAGCUUGCUCCUGGUGGCGAGUGGCGAACGGGUGAGUAAUGCAUCGGAACGUAUCCUGGAGUGGGGGAUAACGUAGCGAAAGUUACGCUAAUACCGCAUAUUCUGUGAGCAGGAAAGCGGGGGACCUUCGGGCCUCGCGCUCUUGGAGCGGCCGAUGUCGGAUUAGCUAGUUGGUGAGGUAAAGGCUCACCAAGGCGACGAUCCGUAGCAGGUCUGAGAGGAUGAUCUGCCACACUGGAACUGAGACACGGUCCAGACUCCUACGGGAGGCAGCAGUGGGAUUUUGGACAAUGGGGGCAACCCUGAUCCAGCCAUGCCGCGUGAGUGAAGAAGGCCUCGGUU
RNAcentral lists this ribosomal RNA (411 nucleotides) under bacterium enrichment culture clone ALO1_GLFRUDD03F3FGF. RNAcentral describes it as "bacterial SSU rRNA". It matches the Rfam family "Bacterial small subunit ribosomal RNA", at positions 9 to 424 of the family's 1533-position model. The record is from RNAcentral.